AGCCCUGAUCUCGGUAAGUUGCUGUCUCCUGGGUACAUUCAACACCUGGCUGAAUACGCUGACUUCUCAUACUUAUACACAAUAUCAACUCAGGUUACAGACCACGUAGCUAGGACCCCUAGACAUAAUGAGUCAGGUUACAGACCACGUAGCUAGGACCCCUAGACAUAAUGAGUCAGGUUACAGACCACGUAGCUAGGACCCCUAGACAUAAUGAGUCAGGUUACAGACCACGUAGCUAGGACCCCUAGGCAUAAUGAGUCAGGUUACAGACCACGUAGCUAGGACCCCUAGGCAUAAUGAGUCAGGUUACAGACCACGUAGCUAGGACCCCUAGGCAUAAUGAGUCAGGUUACAGACCACGUAGCUAGGACCCCUAGGCAUAAUGAGUCAGGUUACAGACCACGUAGCUAGGACCCCUAGGCAUAAUGAGUCAGGUUACAGACCACGUAGCUAGGACCCCUAGACAUAAUGAGUCAGGUUACAGACCACGUAGCUAGGACCCCUAGACAUAAUGAGUCAGGUUACAGACUGAGGUCAGGGCUCUUUGAAGGCCAGUCAAGUUCUUCCACACCGAUCUCAACAAACCAUUGCUGUAUGGACCUGGCUUUGUGCACGAGGGCAUUUUCAUGCUGAAUCGGGAAGGGCCUUCCCCAAACUGUUGACA
Long non-coding RNA from Oncorhynchus keta (chum salmon), 667 nucleotides. RefSeq lists it as uncharacterized. Lineage: Eukaryota; Metazoa; Chordata; Actinopteri; Salmoniformes; Salmonidae. The transcript has 4 exons. The record is from RefSeq and is a predicted model, not a curated record.